UACGAAGGGGGCAAACGUUGUUCGGAAUUACUGGGCGUAAAGCGCGUGUAGGCGGUUGGCUAAGUCGACUGUGAAAGCCCAUGGCUCAACCAUGGAAGUGCAGUCGAUACUGGCUAACUGGAGUCCCGGAGAGGGUGGUGGAAUUCUCAGUGUAGAGGUGAAAUUCGUAGAUAUUGAGAGGAACACCGGUGGCGAAGGCGACCACCUGGACGGGUACUGACGCUGAGACGCGAAAGCGUGGGGAGCAAACAGG
This 253-nucleotide ribosomal RNA is filed under the name uncultured bacterium. RNAcentral's name for it is "partial 16S ribosomal RNA". It matches the Rfam family "Bacterial small subunit ribosomal RNA", at positions 524 to 776 of the family's 1533-position model. The record is from RNAcentral.